Capsella rubella is the source of this 317-nucleotide long non-coding RNA. RefSeq lists it as uncharacterized. NCBI's taxonomy places the organism in Eukaryota, Viridiplantae, Streptophyta, Magnoliopsida, Brassicales, Brassicaceae. The transcript has 3 exons. The record is from RefSeq and is a predicted model, not a curated record.
GCGAUAAAGAAGGGAGUGGGGUCUCCAUGGGGUUCGAUAACGACGGGAUAGGAAAAAGGGAUGAAGCGUUUAGAUUCUCUGCAGAGUGAGCUGGAGAAAUUACAGAGAUGAAUCAUCGCCAGGCUGGCUGGUUCAUCACUGUUGAGAUGAAAGUAAAGUGGAUCCCGAAGAAGGUGGAUGAAUCUGGACCGUGAUGGGAAAAUCAAACCAAAACCCAUGUGGAUAAUUUUCGGUUACCGUGUCCGGUUUACUUCAACCGGACGUUACAUCGUUCGUUUCCAAAGGUUUCUUUCCUCCACUCAAGAUUUUCACGUAAC